This is a long non-coding RNA of Pantherophis guttatus, 808 nucleotides long. RefSeq lists it as uncharacterized. The record is from RefSeq and is a predicted model, not a curated record. Lineage: Eukaryota; Metazoa; Chordata; Lepidosauria; Squamata; Colubridae.
GGCUCAGUUCUGACAGUGCACAGGCCCCUUUAUCUCUCCCAUCCCACUUUGCUUGUGGCACAAGGAGGAGUUGGCGUGUUCCUGGAAGGAAAGCGAUAAAAAAGAAAUUAAAGCAAAGGGAGAGGAGGGCAGGGGGAAUUACCUGUCCUGAAUUUAAAAAAGCACCCCAGGUUACUGUGGCAACUGAAAGAUGCAUCAUGUUGCCAUGACAACUGGGGAAACAUCCUCGUUUGCCUAGCCUUGCCACUACACAGACGAUCGGAGGAGAAGUCAUGGGGAGAAAGUGAGGUUUAAACAGAAUUGCCCUUGAAAUUCAAGAUCUGCUUUUGAAAGGAGAUUCCACCUCAAUGACAAUUAGGUGCCUAUUUCUUGAAAAGGCUCCUGAGUUCAGCUAAGCCUUACCCACUUCACAUUUCACAAGAGCCCAAGAAAAUGAAGAGAGCUUUGGAGAUAACAGAGAAACAUUUCAAUGCCUGCAAAACUCAUAAGAAGUUGUGUGAAGGCAUGAUGGCAAUCCUGUGAUAUCUGGCAACUGCUGCAUAAUGCAGCCUCUGUCUGACUCUGCCAAGCAGAAGCCGGAAUCUCCCAGCAGAGCUAUUUAUAACCUGUGAUAGUUUUCAGAGUGCCACUUUGAUGUUCUUCCACCAACUCUGGGAAAGAAAUAGUCCAUCCCCAAAUAAACUGAUACUGAAGAAAGAAGAAGAGGAGGAGAGAAGAAGGUAGUUAACAUUCUAUUGUCAACAUUAUUUCACUAGGGAAAUGUUAACGUCAAGAGCAGAAUAAAAAUCCUCACCUUUACACUAUCAAA